Molecule: ribosomal RNA, 430 nt
Filed under: uncultured bacterium
Lineage: Bacteria
Description: partial 16S ribosomal RNA
Rfam family: Bacterial small subunit ribosomal RNA
Source: RNAcentral
CCUACGGGUGGCAGCAGUGGGGAAUAUUGGACAAUGGGGGAAACCCUGAUCCAGCGAUGCCGCGUGAGUGAUGAAGGCCUUCGGGUUGUAAAGCUCUUUUAUCCGGGAAGCGGUACCGGAAGAAUAAGCUCCGGCUAACUUCGUGCCAGCAGCCGCGGUAAUACGAAGGGAGCUAGCGUUGUUCGGAAUUACUGGGCGUAAAGGGCGUGUAGGUGGUUUGAUAAGUAAGAUGUGAAAUCCCUGGGCUUAACCUGGAAUGGCAUUUUGGACUGUUAGACUAGUGUGCGAGAGGGGAAAGUGGAAUGGCGAGUGGAGCAGUGAAAUGCGUUGAUAUUCGUUGGAACACCAGAGGCGAAGGCGACUUUCUGGCUCGACAGACACUAAGGCGCGAAAGCGUGGGGAGCAAACAGGAUUAGAUACCCCAGUAGUC